CAAGAUGGCCAAAUAGGAAUAGCCCCAGUCUACAGCUCCCAGCGUGAGUGACGUAGAAGAUGGGUGAUUUCUGCAUUUCCAUCUGAGAAGUUGGACUUUCAGGCUCUGCAUUAAUCAAAACAACAAAAAUCCUUAAAGAAUGAGAAGAUUCAUUUAAGUCCACUGCUUUGCAAAUAUGGAAUCAGGGGUGCAAUAUAUUGAUGGUGUUCUGUGGAGGACAAUGUGCAGAAGACAUCUUAGACAUAGAGAACACAAAUUUUAAGUGCAUUUGGUAUUCAGAAGAAACAGAUUUUUAAGAGAGAACAAAAUUCUCUCCCAGAUCAUCAGAUAUAACAAGUUUGAUGCUGCACAAGUGACAUUUUUUUGUGUGUGAAUGCAGCAGAAAUCUGUUUCUCCUGAGUCCCCUGCUAUUUAUGAAUGCAAAGAAGAAACCAACCUUCCCUUCCCUAAUUGCACCUGGCAAAUAAUCAGAAUGACAGAUUGGGAAUGUUCUUAGUUAGUAAAUUCCUUAGACAGAGAAAAACACCCUGACACACACCACAAUUAUAUCUUCUCUUCCACCUCCCACAUGCACAAUCACCAUAGCUGUCAUUUCUACCACCAUUGAGAAAAUACCUAAGCCAUCCAGGUCUUCUCUCUAUGAAUGUCUUUAUUUCCCAGCUUCAUUCUUUUA
Long non-coding RNA from Symphalangus syndactylus (siamang), 673 nucleotides. RefSeq lists it as uncharacterized. NCBI's taxonomy places the organism in Eukaryota, Metazoa, Chordata, Mammalia, Primates, Hylobatidae. The record is from RefSeq and is a predicted model, not a curated record.